UACGUAGGGGGCAAGCGUUAUCCGGAUUUACUGGGUGUAAAGGGAGCGUAGACGGCGACGCAAGUCUGAAGUGAAAUACCCGGGCUCAACCUGGGAACUGCUUUGGAAACUGUGUUGCUAGAGUGCUGGAGAGGUAAGCGGAAUUCCUAGUGUAGCGGUGAAAUGCGUAGAUAUUAGGAAGAACACCAGUGGCGAAGGCGGCUUACUGGACAGUAACUGACGUUGAGGCUCGAAAGCGUGGGGAGCAAACAGG
RNAcentral lists this ribosomal RNA (253 nucleotides) under uncultured organism. RNAcentral's name for it is "partial 16S ribosomal RNA". It matches the Rfam family "Bacterial small subunit ribosomal RNA", at positions 524 to 776 of the family's 1533-position model. The record is from RNAcentral. RNAcentral also lists the same sequence under 1 other name.